Molecule: non-coding RNA, 182 nt
Filed under: Staphylococcus aureus
Lineage: Bacteria; Bacillati; Bacillota; Bacilli; Caryophanales; Staphylococcaceae
Rfam family: S. aureus tsr24 small RNA
Source: RNAcentral
AAUUUUUAUACAUAAGGCACCUCGUUAAUUUAGUUUAGUGGUAUUUAUUAAAUUAUACGAAAGUGUCUUAUUUUUUUAAAGUAUUUCAAAGUAAAAUUACAUGUUAAUACGUAGUAUUAAUGGCGAGACUCCUGAGGGAGCAGUGCCAGUCGAAGACCGAGGCUGAGACGGCACCCUAGGAA